This 199-nucleotide unclassified non-coding RNA is filed under the name soil metagenome. Its description in RNAcentral is "partial contains 5.8S ribosomal RNA, internal transcribed spacer 2, and large subunit ribosomal RNA". The record is from RNAcentral.
AACUGAUACUACCUGCGGGAACCUGCGGAGGGAUCAUUACCGAGUUUACAACUCCCAAACCCCAUGUGAACAUACCUGUUUCGUUCCCUCGGCGGUGUCCGGCAACGGCCCGCCAGAGGACCCAACAAACUCUUUUGAAUUUUUCAGUAUCUUCUGAGUGAAAAAAACAAUAAAUCAAAACUUUUAACAACGGAUCUCU